GUGGGGAAUCUUGCGCAAUGGGCGAAAGCCUGACGCAGCCAUGCCGCGUGGAUGAUGAAGGUCUUAGGAUUGUAAAAUCCUUUCACCGGUGAAGAUAAUGACUGUAGCCGGAGAAGAAGCCCCGGCUAACUUCGUGCCAGCAGCCGCGGUAAUACGAAGGGGGCUAGCGUUGCUCGGAAUUACUGGGCGUAAAGGGAGCGUAGGCGGACAUUUAAGUCAGGGGUGAAAUCCCAGAGCUCAACUCUGGAACUGCCUUUGAUACUGGGUGUCUUGAGUGUGAUAGAGGUAUGUGGAACUCCGAGUGUAGAGGUGAAAUUCGUAGAUAUUCGGAAGAACACCAGUGGCGAAGGCGACAUACUGGAUCAUUACUGACGCUGAGGCUCGAAAGCGUGGGGAGCAAACAGGAUUAGAUACCCGAGUAGUCC
RNAcentral lists this ribosomal RNA (425 nucleotides) under uncultured bacterium. RNAcentral's name for it is "partial 16S ribosomal RNA". It matches the Rfam family "Bacterial small subunit ribosomal RNA", at positions 354 to 796 of the family's 1533-position model. The record is from RNAcentral.